GAUGAACGCUGGCGGCGUGCCUAAUACAUGCAAGUCGAGCGAACGGACGAGAAGCUUGCUUCUCUGAUGUUAGCGGCGGACGGGUGAGUAACACGUGGAUAACCUACCUAUAAGACUGGGAUAACUUCGGGAAACCGGAGCUAAUACCGGAUGAUAUUUUGAACCGCAUGGUUCAAAAGUGAAAGACGGUCUUGCUGUCACUUAUAGAUGGAUCCGCGCUGCAUUAGCUAGUUGGUAAGGUAACGGCUUACCAAGGCAACGAUGCAUAGCCGACCUGAGAGGGUGAUCGGCCACACUGGAACUGAGACACGGUCCAGACUCCUACGGGAGGCAGCAGUAGGGAAUCUUCCGCAAUGGGCGAAAGCCUGACGGAGCAACGCCGCGUGAGUGAUGAAGGUCUUCGGAUCGUAAAACUCUGUUAUUAGGGAAGAACAUAUGUGUAAGUAACUGUGCACAUCUUGACGGUACCUAAUCAGAAAGCCACGGCUAACUACGUGCCAGCAGCCGCGGUAAUACGUAGGUGGCAAGCGUUAUCCGGAAUUAUUGGGCGUAAAGCGCGCGUAGGCGGUUUUUUAAGUCUGAUGUGAAAGCCCACGGCUCAACCGUGGAGGGUCAUUGGAAACUGGAAAACUUGAGUGCAGAAGAGGAAAGUGGAAUUUCAUGUGUAGCGGUGAAAUGCGCAGAGAUAUGGAGGAACACCAGUGGCGAAGGCGACUUUCUGGUCUGUAACUGACGCUGAUGUGCGAAAGCGUGGGGAUCAAACAGGAUUAGAUACCCUGGUAGUCCACGCCGUAAACGAUGAGUGCUAAGUGUUAGGGGGUUUCCGCCCCUUAGUGCUGCAGCUAACGCAUUAAGCACUCCGCCUGGGGAGUACGACCGCAAGGUUGAAACUCAAAGGAAUUGACGGGGACCCGCACAAGCGGUGGAGCAUGUGGUUUAAUUCGAAGCAACGCGAAGAACCUUACCAAAUCUUGACAUCCUUUGACAACUCUAGAGAUAGAGCCUUCCCCUUCGGGGGACAAAGUGACAGGUGGUGCAUGGUUGUCGUCAGCUCGUGUCGUGAGAUGUUGGGUUAAGUCCCGCAACGAGCGCAACCCUUAAGCUUAGUUGCCAUCAUUAAGUUGGGCACUCUAAGUUGACUGCCGGUGACAAACCGGAGGAAGGUGGGGAUGACGUCAAAUCAUCAUGCCCCUUAUGAUUUGGGCUACACACGUGCUACAAUGGACAAUACAAAGGGCAGCGAAACCGUGAGGUCAAGCAAAUCCCAUAAAGUUGUUCUCAGUUCGGAUUGUAGUCUGCAAUUCGACUACAUGAAGCUGGAAUCGCUAGUAAUCGUAGAUCAGCAUGCUACGGUGAAUACGUUCCCGGG
This 1369-nucleotide ribosomal RNA is filed under the name uncultured bacterium. Its description in RNAcentral is "16S ribosomal RNA". It matches the Rfam family "Bacterial small subunit ribosomal RNA", at positions 28 to 1378 of the family's 1533-position model. The record is from RNAcentral.